CCAAAAAUACUGAAGUAUCAAUCUUUCUAGAUGCCGUUUGUUCUUCUUACAUUUCUUUAUUAUUAAUAAAUUGAUCCAAGAUGUUGUUUGUUUUUUGCGGGAGAAAUGACUUCGUAGCACUUAAUAAACAUUUUUUAAUGGCUUUUUUACGAGUAUUUUUUAUUUUUACACAACAAAUUUAUAAAGAUCAUUUUCAUCUAUUCAAUUUGUAACAUAAAAUCUCAGUCCCUUAAUUUUUACUUUAUUGACCUUCGUUGAAAAUAAGGAAGGGAAACUUUUUUUUACUUGUGAUCACUUAGAGCCCCCUUCUAUCAAUAAAUAUUCUCAAG
Molecule: long non-coding RNA, 329 nt
Filed under: Capsicum annuum
Lineage: Eukaryota; Viridiplantae; Streptophyta; Magnoliopsida; Solanales; Solanaceae
Description: long non-coding RNA (CANN_LNC012854)
Source: RNAcentral